ACGCGUGGGAACGUACCCAGAUCUAAGGAAUAGCCACUGGAAACGGUGAGUAAUACCUUAUACGCCCUUCGGGGGAAAGAUUUAUCGGAUUUGGAUCGGCCCGCGUUAGAUUAGAUAGUUGGUGGGGUAACGGCCUACCAAGUCUACGAUCUAUAGCUGGUUUUAGAGGAUGAUCAGCAACACUGGGACUGAGACACGGCCCAGACUCCUACGGGAGGCAGCAGUGGGGAAUCUUGGACAAUGGGCGCAAGCCUGAUCCAGCCAUGCCGCGUGAGUGAUGAAGGCCUUAGGGUCGUAAAGCUCUUUCGCCUGUGAAGAUAAUGACGGUAGCAGGUAAAGAAACCCCGGCUAACUCCGUGCCAGCAGCCGCGGUAAUACGGAGGGGGUUAGCGUUGUUCGGAAUUACUGGGCGUAAAGCGCACGUAGGCGGACUGGAAAGUAUGGGGUGAAAUCCCAGGGCUCAACCCUGGAACUGCCUCAUAAACUAUCAGUCUAGAGUUCGAGAGAGGUGAGUGGAAUUCCGAGUGUAGAGGUGAAAUUCGUAGAUAUUCGGAGGAACACCAGUGGCGAAGGCGGCUCACUGGCUCGAUACUGACGCUGAGGUGCGAAAGUGUGGGGAGCAAACAGGAUUAGAUACCCUGGUAGUC
RNAcentral lists this ribosomal RNA (647 nucleotides) under Ruegeria sp. RNAcentral's name for it is "bacterial SSU rRNA". It matches the Rfam family "Bacterial small subunit ribosomal RNA", at positions 113 to 795 of the family's 1533-position model. Lineage: Bacteria; Pseudomonadati; Pseudomonadota; Alphaproteobacteria; Rhodobacterales; Roseobacteraceae. The record is from RNAcentral.